GUUUAUUUGAUAGUACCUUACUACAUGGAUACCUGUGGUAAUUCUAGAGCUAAUACAUGCUAAAAACCUCGACUUCGGAAGGGGUGUAUUUAUUAGAUAAAAAACCAAUGCCCUUCGGGGCUCCUUGGUGAAUCAUAAUAACUUAACGAAUCGCAUGGCCUUGCGCCGGCGAUGGUUCAUUCAAAUUUCUGCCCUAUCAACUUUCGAUGGUAGGAUAGUGGCCUACCAUGGUGGCAACGGGUAACGGGGAAUUAGGGUUCGAUUCCGGAGAGGGAGCCUGAGAAACGGCUACCACAUCCAAGGAAGGCAGCAGGCGCGCAAAUUACCCAAUCCCGACACGGGGAGGUAGUGACAAUAAAUACUGAUACGGGGCUCUUUUGGGUCUCGUAAUUGGAAUGAGUACAAUCUAAAUCCCUUAACGAGGAACAAUUGGAGGGCAAGUCUGGUGCCAGCAGCCGCGGUAAUUCCAGCUCCAAUAGCGUAUAUUAAAGUUGUUGCAGUUAAAAAGCUCGUAGUUGAACCUUGGGUCUGGCUGGCCGGUCCGCCUCACCGCGAGUACUGGUCCGGCUGGACCUUUCCUUCUGGGGAACCUCAUGGCCUUCACUGGCUGUGGGGGGAACCAGGACUUUUACUGUGAAAAAAUUAGAGUGUUCAAAGCAGGCCUUUGCUCGAAUACAUUAGCAUGGAAUAAUAGAAUAGGACGUGCGGUUCUAUUUUGUUGGUUUCUAGGACCGCCGUAAUGAUUAAUAGGGAUAGUCGGGGGCGUCAGUAUUCAGCUGUCAGAGGUGAAAUUCUUGGA
Molecule: ribosomal RNA, 799 nt
Filed under: Aspergillus fischeri
Lineage: Eukaryota; Fungi; Ascomycota; Eurotiomycetes; Eurotiales; Aspergillaceae
Also listed under: 7 other names
Description: SSU rRNA
Rfam family: Eukaryotic small subunit ribosomal RNA
Source: RNAcentral